AGUCGAACGAUGAAGUUCCUUCGGGGAUGGAUUAGUGGCGAACGGGUGAGGAACACGUGAAGAGUCUGCCCUCCACUUUGGGAUAACCCCGGGAAACCGGUGCUAAUACCGAAUAUUGAAAUAUAAGUGGCAUCACUGAAUUUUGAAAGAAUUUCGGUGGAGGAUGACUUCGCGGCCUAUCAGCUUGUUGGUGAGGUAAAGGCUCACCAAGGCGACGACGGGUAUCCGGCCUGAGAGGGCGACCGGACACACUGGGACUGAGACACGGCCCAGACUCCUACGGGAGGCAGCAGUGGGGAAUAUUGGGCAAUGGACGAAAGUCUGACCCAGCGACGCCGCGUGAGGGAUGAAGGCCUUCGGGUUGUAAACCUCUUUCAGUAGGGAAGAAGCGAAAGUGACGGUACCUAAAGAAGAAGCACCGGCUAACUAUGUGCCAGCAGCCGCGGUAAUACAUAGGGUGCAAGCGUUGUCCGGAAUUAUUGGGCGUAAAGAGCUCGUAGGUGGUUUGUUGCGUCGGGUGUGAAAUUCAGGGGCUCAACCCCUGACCUGCACUCGAUACGGGCAGACUAGAGCUUGGUAGGGGAGACUGGAAUUCCUGGUGUAGCGGUGGAAUGCGCAGAUAUCAGGAGGAACACCAAUGGCGAAGGCAGGUCUCUGGGCCAAUACUGACACUGAGGAGCGAAAGCGCGGGGAGCGAACAGGAUUAGAUACCCUGGUAGUCCGCGCCGUAAACG
Molecule: ribosomal RNA, 734 nt
Filed under: uncultured Actinomycetes bacterium
Lineage: Bacteria; Bacillati; Actinomycetota; Actinomycetes
Description: bacterial SSU rRNA
Rfam family: Bacterial small subunit ribosomal RNA
Source: RNAcentral